GACAACUAAUGAUGCUCCGGCUCAUCCAACAAGGAAAAUUCGAGUUCCGCAACGAACAAUGGGCGAAUAUCACUGCAGAAGCCAAAAAUCUAAUCACCCAGUUGCUCCAAGUUGAUGCAACAAAGAGAAUUAGCUCAAAAGAGUGUUUAGCACAUGAAUGGAUGAUUCCAAUUGCACAACAACAGGCUCCACAGAUGGUUCCUGUCGUUGAAGUGGAGCUUGUCAAGGAUCAAACAUCGGAGAGAGCUAGGAAACGGUUCAAAACG
RNAcentral lists this small RNA (266 nucleotides) under Caenorhabditis elegans. RNAcentral's name for it is "Unclassified non-coding RNA Y50D7A.19". The record is from RNAcentral. Lineage: Eukaryota; Metazoa; Nematoda; Chromadorea; Rhabditida; Rhabditidae.